GCAAUAAAUUAAGUAAAAAAAUGUGAUAUUAGCAUCUAGAAAUGCAUAUGCAAAAUAAUUUAUAUUCAUAUGGAUGUUUUGCAUUCUCAGCUACAACAAAUAGCAAUUUUAACAAUCAGUUCUUCCAGGUCCUGUGGUGCUUAUUAUAACAGAAUUUCACUGCAGUGUCACUAUAUGGGUAUAAAAUUGAAAGACUCUCAUUAUGGUAUUCUCAACCCUUCUGAUCAAGGGCAGCAAUACCAGAGUUUGUUGUACAGGAAAUGCAGAGUGUACAGAUUUGCCAACUGCUUGUUGUAGAGACAAUAAACCAAAAUCAUAGUAAAAUUCUUGCAAGCUUACGAAAUGCUUUAGUACAAAUGAAUUGAAAGCAUUAAUAAAUUAUUAUGAAGUCAUUGAAAGUCAUACAUAUUUGAAAAUACAGA
RNAcentral lists this long non-coding RNA (422 nucleotides) under Androctonus crassicauda. Lineage: Eukaryota; Metazoa; Arthropoda; Arachnida; Scorpiones; Buthidae. The record is from RNAcentral.